UGAGGAAUAUUGGUCAAUGGGCGGAAGCCUGAACCAGCCAUGCCGCGUGAAGGACUAAGGCCCUACGGGUCGUAAACUUCUUUAGACGCAGAGCAAUAAGGUCCACGCGUGGACCGAUGAGAGUAUGCGUAGAAUAAGCAUCGGCUAACUCCGUGCCAGCAGCCGCGGUAAUACGGGGGAUGCGAGCGUUAUCCGGAUUCAUUGGGUUUAAAGGGUGCGCAGGCGGCUCGUCAAGUCAGCGGUGAAAGCCCGGGGCUCAACCCCGGUAAGCCGUUGAAACUGGCAAGCUGGAGUUCGGGCGAGGCAGGCGGAAUGCGCGGUGUAGCGGUGAAUGCAUAGAUAUUGCGCAGAGCUCCGAUUGCGAAGGCAGCUUGCCAGCCCUGGACUGACGCUGAGGCACGAAAGCGUGGGUAUCGAACAGGAUUAGAUACCCUGGUAGU
Molecule: ribosomal RNA, 440 nt
Filed under: uncultured Porphyromonadaceae bacterium
Lineage: Bacteria; Pseudomonadati; Bacteroidota; Bacteroidia; Bacteroidales; Porphyromonadaceae
Description: bacterial SSU rRNA
Rfam family: Bacterial small subunit ribosomal RNA
Source: RNAcentral